ACUUCCUUGAAGACACCUGCCAUGAACUCUUUCUCCAGCAGCGCUGAGGAGUGCGACAUUCAGGAAAUGGCAAUGCGGCAGUAAGGAAGGAAUCUGUGCCCUUUAAUGACCUAGAGGAGUAGAUCCACUUCGCCACCUGGACCGGCCAGACUAAUGUGGCCCGGACUCUCAGCUGGACUGACAGGCAAAAUAUCUGUGUCCGUGUACGUUAUUCAUCUGUCACUGGGUCAAGGUCUCCGGGACAGACCCCCUACAGCUGGCGCUCCGUGUGAGGAAUGCUGCGAAGGAUCACGACGGACCCCCCAAAAUGAAGGAUACAAAGCUGGAAUAAGAGGAAUGACCACUUCGUCUGACAGACCUGUUGCUGCACACAUCUGUACCCUUCGGUCAACAGAACCCGAUGCAAAGAACAGAAAAGGGAGAGAUGUGGGAGUUCAGACAGGCUGGUGGCGUGUCCAGAAUUUAUUCCUUCCGGUGGGUUCUUGGUCUCGCUGACUUCAAGAAUGAAGCCGCAAACCUUUGCUGCCUAUAUCACCCAAACCUGAAAAGGGAAAGAAGGAUGUGAAGAAAAUAAUAUAGGAGGAAGAAGAAUGAAGAAACAGCGGGCAAGAAAAAGAAGAAGACUAGAAAGAGAAGAUGAAGCAGGAUAAAGUGGAGGAGAAAUAGCUUUACUGAAUGGAAGUAUGUCUGUUACUUCUGCUCUUCCAACAACAACAACAACAACAAAAAGCCCAAGGAUGCUGCUAAAUAUCUUAAAAGGUACAAGCAAAUAGUUAUGAUAGUUUUA
RNAcentral lists this long non-coding RNA (787 nucleotides) under Homo sapiens (human). Its description in RNAcentral is "HSALNT0378182". Lineage: Eukaryota; Metazoa; Chordata; Mammalia; Primates; Hominidae. The record is from RNAcentral.